GAGUUUGAUCUUGGCUCAGAUUGAACGCUGGCGGCAGGCCUAACACAUGCAAGUCGAGCGGAUGAAGGGAGCUUGCUCCUGGAUUCAGCGGCGGACGGGUGAGUAAUGCCUAGGAAUCUGCUUGGUAGUGGGGAUAACGUCCGGAAACGGGCGCUAAUACCGCAUACGUCCUGAGGGAGAAAGUGGGGGAUCUUCGGACCUCACGCUAUCAGAUGAGCCUAGGUCGGAUUAGCUAGUUGGUGGGGUAAAGGCCUACCAAGGCGACGAUCCGUAACUGGUCUGAGAGGAUGAUCAGUCACACUGGAACUGAGACACGGUCCAGACUCCUACGGGAGGCAGCAGUGGGGAAUAUUGGACAAUGGGCGAAAGCCUGAUCCAGCCAUGCCGCGUGUGUGAAGAAGGUCUUCGGAUUGUAAAGCACUUUAAGUUGGGAGGAAGGGCAGUAAGUUAAUACCUUGCUGUUUUGACGUUACCAACAGAAUAAGCACCGGCUAACUUCGUGCCAGCCGCCGCAGU
RNAcentral lists this ribosomal RNA (516 nucleotides) under uncultured microorganism. Its description in RNAcentral is "bacterial SSU rRNA". It matches the Rfam family "Bacterial small subunit ribosomal RNA", at positions 9 to 521 of the family's 1533-position model. The record is from RNAcentral.